Molecule: ribosomal RNA, 156 nt
Filed under: uncultured freshwater bacterium
Lineage: Bacteria
Description: partial 16S ribosomal RNA
Rfam family: Bacterial small subunit ribosomal RNA
Source: RNAcentral
AUGGACGCAAGUCUGAACCAGCCAUGCCGCGUGGAGGAUGAAGGUCCUCUGGAUUGUAAACUUCUUUUAUUUGGGAAGAAACCCAUAGUUUCUACUGUGGUUGACGGUACCAGAUGAAUAAGCACCGGCUAACUCCGUGCCAGCAGCCGCGGUAAU